RNAcentral lists this ribosomal RNA (425 nucleotides) under uncultured bacterium. RNAcentral's name for it is "bacterial SSU rRNA". It matches the Rfam family "Bacterial small subunit ribosomal RNA", at positions 356 to 773 of the family's 1533-position model. The record is from RNAcentral.
GGGGAAUAUUGCACAAUGGGGGAAACCCUGAUGCAGCCAUGCCGCGUGUGUGAAGAAGGCCUUCGGGUUGUAAAGCACUUUCAGCGAGGAGGAAAGGUCAGUAGCUAAUAUCUGCUGACUGUGACGUUACUCGCAGAAGAAGCACCGGCUAACUCCGUGCCAGCAGCCGCGGUAAUACGGAGGGUGCAAGCGUUAAUCGGAAUUACUGGGCGUAAAGCGCACGCAGGCGGUUGGAUAAGUUAGAUGUGAAAGCCCCGGGCUCAACCUGGGAAUUGCAUUUAAAACUGUCCAGCUAGAGUCUUGUAGAGGGGGGUAGAAUUCCAGGUGUAGCGGUGAAAUGCGUAGAGAUCUGGAGGAAUACCGGUGGCGAAGGCGGCCCCCUGGACAAAGACUGACGCUCAGGUGCGAAAGCGUGGGGAGCAAAC